AACGCGAAGAACCUUACCAACCCUUGACAUCCUGUGCUACUACCAGAGAUGGUACGUUCCCUUCGGGGACGCAGUGACAGGUGCUGCAUGGCUGUCGUCAGCUCGUGUCGUGAGAUGUUCGGUUAAGUCCGGCAACGAGCGCAACCCACAUCUUUAGUUGCCAUCAGGUUAUGCUGGGCACUCUAGAGAAACUGCCCGUGAUAAGCGGGAGGAAGGUGUGGAUGACGUCAAGUCCUCAUGGCCCUUACGGGUUGGGCUACACACGUGCUACAAUGGCAGUGACAAUGGGUUAAUCCCAAAAAACUGUCUCAGUUCGGAUUGGGGUCUGCAACUCGACCCCAUGAAGUCGGAAUCGCUAGUAAUCGCGUAACAGCAUGACGCGGUGAAUACGUUCCCGGGUC
RNAcentral lists this ribosomal RNA (401 nucleotides) under uncultured marine bacterium. Its description in RNAcentral is "bacterial SSU rRNA". It matches the Rfam family "Bacterial small subunit ribosomal RNA", at positions 958 to 1380 of the family's 1533-position model. The record is from RNAcentral.